Molecule: long non-coding RNA, 294 nt
Filed under: Arabidopsis lyrata
Lineage: Eukaryota; Viridiplantae; Streptophyta; Magnoliopsida; Brassicales; Brassicaceae
Description: long non-coding RNA (ALYR_LNC001078)
Source: RNAcentral
GUAGAUUAAAACCAUUUUCUUAGGAAAGAGAUAUACAUUAAGGUGCACAAUCUGGAUUUGGAUGGAUAGAAAAAGUAGAGGCAUUGGUUUAGUUAUCAAAUGUUCUCAUCACACCAAGAGACUUAGAUCUCAAUCAAUGUUUCCAUAUUGAUAAAUAAAAAAACUUAUAAAGUAGACAAACCGUUGAUAUAAUAUUUCACGUCCAAAGAGAGUAGAUCACCUCAUGAUGACCAAGUUGCUUAUAGUGUUUAGAUUGUAUAGCAUUCAUAUUCUAACUGAAUCUAGAACAUAUGC